AUACAAGAUAUGCACAAAUGCGGACUUAUAUGGGACAAAAUGUGACACGUGCCCCUAAAAGAAAAAAAACUCUGAAUAGCAGUAUAGUGCCGACAUUCCUCUAUCCCUAACCCUUACUCAAAUGAAACUGUAGAAUACUAAAACCCUAGAAGUUCCACGACCCACCUCGGCCAAUGCUGCCGCAUGCAUCCUCUGUCGUGCUUGCGCUUGUCUUGCCAACUCAUCAAGUCCCAUGGUCCAUCCACUGCCGCUUCGGAAUUUAGCUAUUUCAUUUUCAUGGGUCUUGAGCUGUUGACACACCACCACCAUGAUGCCGUUCGCCUGCACCGCUGCACGCCACUAGUCAAGCGCACCACCUUCAAUUGACUCUAAAUCUCCAAUUUAGAAUCUGCUCUUCUUGCUAUGAAUGCAAUGGUAAACAUUAUUCUAAAUUUGCCUCUUGGAUCUCCCGACUGCAAUAUCAAUAUCUUUUGAGCUUUUGGCAUUAGAAACCGGAGGGGCGACCUUUGGAACUGAAUAUGGCUGCAGAAAGAUCUCGUUCUAGCACGGAUGCUUAUGCCGAGCAGAAUGCGUGAUAAGAAACAAAGAAUGAUAUCCAUUUGACAAAAUGAGCAAAAAUGACAAUUGAAAAAACAAUGUCAGAACAAACAACAGUGUUUCUGAUCUUAUAUAUCAUCACUUACCAUCACUUGGUAUUGAGUUGCAAAAUCCUGAAGGCCAAUAGAGAACCAUUUUUACCGUUACUUGUGUCAGGUUAGAAUUAUUCAUGAUUGUGAACGUAUCACAUCAGAUUUGUUCCAAUAAAUAACGAUCGAAAACAAAAGUACAGCAGGUGGGAACUCAUUGUUCAUCUA
This is a long non-coding RNA of Amaranthus tricolor (Joseph's coat), 854 nucleotides long. RefSeq lists it as uncharacterized. The record is from RefSeq and is a predicted model, not a curated record. Lineage: Eukaryota; Viridiplantae; Streptophyta; Magnoliopsida; Caryophyllales; Amaranthaceae. The transcript is spliced from 2 exons.